Molecule: ribosomal RNA, 497 nt
Filed under: uncultured bacterium
Lineage: Bacteria
Description: partial 16S ribosomal RNA
Rfam family: Bacterial small subunit ribosomal RNA
Source: RNAcentral
GAUGAACGCUGGCGGCGUGCCUAAUACAUGCAGGUCGAGCGAACAGACGAGGAGCUUGCUCCUCUGACGUUAGCGGCGGACGGGUGAGUAACACGUGGAUAACCUACCUAUAAGACUGGGAUAACUUCGGGAAACCGGAGCUAAUACCGGAUAAUAUAUUGAACCGCAUGGUUCAAUAGUGAAAGACGGUUUUGCUGUCACUUAUAGAUGGAUCCGCGCCGCAUUAGCUAGUUGGUAAGGUAACGGCUUACCAAGGCAACGAUGCGUAGCCGACCUGAGAGGGUGAUCGGCCACACUGGAACUGAGACACGGUCCAGACUCCUACGGGAGGCAGCAGUAGGGAAUCUUCCGCAAAGGGCGAAAGCUUGACGGAGCAACGCCGCGUGAGUGAUGAAGGUCUUCGGAUCGUAAAACUCUGUUAUUAGGGAAGAACAAAUGUGUAAGUAACUAUGCACGUCUUGACGGUACCUAAUCAGAAAGCCACGGCUAACUACGUG